This 1473-nucleotide ribosomal RNA is filed under the name uncultured prokaryote. RNAcentral's name for it is "partial 16S ribosomal RNA". It matches the Rfam family "Bacterial small subunit ribosomal RNA". The record is from RNAcentral.
UCACAUGUUUUGGCCCCCCGCUAACACAUGCAAGUCGAGCGGAAACGAGUUAUCUGAACCUUCGGGGAACGAUUUGGGCGGCGAGCGGCGGACGGGUGAGUAAUGCCUGGGAAUAUGCCUUAGUGUGGGGGAUAACUAUUGGAAACGAUAGCUAAUACCGCAUAAUGCCUACGGGCCAAAGAGGGGGACCUUCGGGCCUCUCGCGCUAAGAUUAGCCCAGGUGGGAUUAGCUUGUUGGUGGGGUAACGGCUCACCAAGGCAACGAUCCCUAGCUGGUCUGAGAGGAUGAUCAGCCACACUGGAACUGAGACACGGUCCAGACUCCUACGGGAGGCAGCAGUGGGGAAUAUUGCACAAUGGGGGAAACCCUGAUGCAGCCAUGCCGCGUGUAUGAAGAAGGCCUUCGGGUUGUAAAGUACUUUCAGUCGUGAGGAAGGUUAGGUAGUUAAUAACUGCCUAGCUUGACGUUAGCGACAGAAGAAGCUCCGGCUAACUCCGUGCCAGCAGCCGCGGUAAUACGGGGGGAGCGAGCGUUAAUCGGAAUUACUGGGCGUAAAGCGCAUGCAGGCGGUUUAUUAAGUCAGAUGUGAAAGCCCCGGGCUCAACCUGGGAAAGUCAUUUGAAACUGGUAAACUAGAGUCUUGUAGAGGGGGGUAGAAUUUCAGGUGUAGCGGUGAAAUGCGUAGAGAUCUGAAGGAAUACCAGUGGCGAAGGCGGCCCCCUGGACAAAGACUGACGCUCAGAUGCGAAAGCGUGGGGAGCAAACGGGAUUAGAUACCCCGGUAGUCCACGCCGUAAACGAUGUCUACUUGAAGGUUGUGGCCUUGAGCCGUGGCUUUCGGAGCUAACGCGUUAAGUAGACCGCCUGGGGAGUACGGUCGCAAGAUUAAAACUCAAAUGAAUUGACGGGGGCCCGCACAAGCGGUGGAGCAUGUGGUUUAAUUCGAUGCAACGCGAAGAACCUUACCUACUCUUGACAUCCAGAGAAUUUGCUAGAGAUAGCUUAGUGCCUUCGGGAACUCUGAGACAGGUGCUGCAUGGCUGUCGUCAGCUCGUGUUGUGAAAUGUUGGGUUAAGUCCCGCAACGAGCGCAACCCUUAUCCUUGUUUGCCAGCACGUAAUGGUGGGAACUCCAGGGAGACUGCCGGUGAUAAACCGGAGGAAGGUGGGGACGACGUCAAGUCAUCAUGGCCCUUACGAGUAGGGCUACACACGUGCUACAAUGGCGCAUACAGAGGGCUGCAAGCUAGCGAUAGUGAGCGAAUCCCACAAAGUGCGUCGUAGUCCGGAUCGGAGUCUGCAACUCGACUCCGUGAAGUCGGAAUCGCUAGUAAUCGUGAAUCAGAAUGUCACGGUGAAUACGUUCCCGGGCCUUGUACACACCGCCCGUCACACCAUGGGAGUGGGCUGCAAAAGAAGUAGGUAGUUUAACCUUCGGGAGGACGCUUACCACCUAGAAGAAAUAACAUGAAA